Micropterus dolomieu (smallmouth bass) is the source of this 3557-nucleotide RNA transcript. It is a transcript of the gene named protein shisa-like-2A, with no coding region annotated. NCBI's taxonomy places the organism in Eukaryota, Metazoa, Chordata, Actinopteri, Centrarchiformes, Centrarchidae. The record is from RefSeq and is a predicted model, not a curated record. The transcript has 4 exons.
CAAGAUGCUUUGACGGCGAUGAGAAGUAGCAGCAGUGGGAAGCAGGCGGUAUGAGAGCAGGUUCUAAUGUGCGCCACACCGCAUCCGGCUGUCGGUGCGCGGGCAGUCUGCGUCUGAUAUGAGCUCGGACUGCGAAAGUUACUACAGCAAAGAAAACGUGUUCGUGGAGGGCUUCACGUGUCCGAAAGCAGACAGUGACACCACGGCACUUUUCUGCUGCGGGUUCAGUGACUUGAAGUACUGUUGUGAUGACCCCAACAGCUUUUUCCCCUACGAAUAUGGAUACAUGUGGUGGUUAAGUCUUGGAGCUCUUGUGGGUCUCUCUGUGGCAGCAGUGGUUCUUCUCGCCUUCAUCAUCACUCUCUGUGUCCUCUGCUAUCUGUUCAUCACCACUAAACCGAGAGGACUGGACAACGGGCUGCCGCUCAGAGCACCAGGCUCUACGUCGAGUCCACAAGGACCAGAACCCAGUCAUACCAGUGCACAUGCUGGCCCACAAGGCCUCAGGAAACACUUCAUGAGGGGCAAGCUGGACUGCGACAACCAGCCCCCGGACCCUGACCGCCUUUUCCAGCGUUGUUUCAUGGCUACUGUGACCUCUAUCAACGUGGAGGGUCCUGCAUAGAUUGGUGGACUACAGCAUUUGACUUAUUGACCAGCUUUUAGCUUGAUUCCUAUUUAUUUGCCACAGACCUGUCACCACUACACUGUAGUAUAAUAUAUAAUAUAUAUAUGAUAUAAUCUCAGUAAUAUGAUCUCAGUUGCUUUACAAUUAGCUUUUAUUAGCUUUGAUGUGGGGAGUCAUAUGCAUUGUUUGUUGCCACACGGCUUUCUGUAAUGUGUCUAUUGCACAGAAUCAAACCAACACAGAAGUCCUUUUGCUCAACAAACAGAAAAAAACUCUUAUUGCAAUUUCCCACUACCUGUUGCAUUGGUGCAACAAAAUAGCCAAAACAAAACAGCACAAUUAUGCACUGAUUGUGUGGAUAAUCAAACAUUUUUGAGGCGGUAAUUCAGCAGAAGAGAGUCUUGGUGACUGCAAAACAUGGUUUUAAUUUGCUUCUGAUAGACGAGAUGAGCUGAGUUAUAAUAGAUGUAUUAGAGCUCAUUCCCUGAUGUCCAGAGGUUGUUAGCACCUGUUGGUCAUGCAUUUUAUGGUUCUUGAAAACUGAAGAAAAUAUGCAAAGUUCAUCACUUGUUUUCACUUGUUGAAAUCCACUGAGAAAUAACCUUAAUACAGUGUCUGAAUGAUGAUCAGCCAUUGACAUCAUAGACUCAGAAAUGCUUUUGAUGAACCUGAGAGACAGGGUGAUUUUGGUAAAUAAAAAGUGAACUAUCUAGCUGUGCCUAACUCUCUGAGGGCACCUGCUGGCUCCAAACUCUGCUUUUACAAAGUGAUGGAGAAGUCAGUAAUGAAAGAAGUUGAAUAAUCAAUGUUUUGUGAUGAAAAUGUUUUUCAUUUAUUGAAAAAAGAAAAAAAUAUUCAACUUCUCCCAUGUCUCCCGGGGCCACUCCACUCAUUUUAUGCAUUGAGAUCAGUUUGCUCAUCAUAAAAUCUUAGAUAACGCUGGUGAUGUCAUCGGGAUUAUCUAAGGUUUGGCAUGAAGCUUCACAUUUUUAAACUAAAGCCUACAUUACAAACUGAUGGCAUGGAGUUUGCAUGAUGUGGUUGCCUGCAACACAGUUCAAGGAAUGGCAAUGUCUGUCUGUCGGUUGGUGGGUCGCUUUGGUUCAGACUGAAAUAUCUAUACAAAUAUAGCCGCUUUCACACAGAGAUCCCGCAAUAAACGUGGAAAGAAUGGCCGCCAAUAUGCCGCAUUCGCUCAUUCAUACUGAACAAAAUAUUUCGGCAUACCGUGUGAAAUAUCUUGAUGGAUUGCCAUGAAUUUCAUACACAUGUUCUUGUCUCCCUCAAGAUGAAUUGUAAUCACCUGAUGGCCCCUUAACUUUUCAUUUAAGGCUGUCAUCAGGUCAAAAUUUUAAUUUGUCAAAUACCUUUUAUUUGUUUAUGAUCAAAUGCUUGCUGAACAACUGAUAAGGAUGCCAGAUUUUCAACAGCACUGCCUCUGAUUAGCGAGUACUCGUUGCCUCCAUAAAUUGAGUUUAGGGUUAGGAUGGGGUUAGGGAUAGCCAAUCAGAGGCAGAGGUGGGGGCAGGACUUUACGCAGAUCUGGUAAACUAAUGCUGGUAAACAUGGCAAACAUUAUACCUUCUUGGCAUCUGCAUUUUAGAGCUGUUAUUGUGAGCGUGUUAGCUUGCUAUUAGCAUUUAGCUCAAAGCCCAGCUGUGCCUAAUGCCUCAUUUCCACUACACGGUACAGCUCGACUCGACUUUUUGGUUUGCCAUUGGUGAAAGUGGAUAGUAUACCUGGUAACUUGUACUUCUUUGGUCAAGGUUCCAAGUGAGCUGAGCUGAUACUAAAAGGUGGAGUUAAAACACUGCGACCACUGAUUGAACAGCGAAAAAUGUCUAAGCUUAGAUGGAGUACGGUCUAGACCUGCUCUUUAUGAAAAGUUCUAAGAGAUUACUCCUGUUAUAAAUUGGCGCUAUAUAAAUAAAAUUAAAUUGAAAGCUACCAAUUGAAAGCGGCUGCAAUUUUUUUUUUUUCACUAGACACUAGAUUUGAAAAAAUGGCUGGUCGACUGAUAAAGGGCAGAGGUUUCUUUGUUUUGGUUGCAGGUGUGUGUUUGCAUAAAGUUGAAGAUGAUGUCAUGACAAUUUCCCGCCUACGUUGAGGGGGUACAAUCUGCAGUGGAAAAAAACAUUGAGAAAAGUACCUGGUACCAAAAGUGAGUCAAGUCGGGCAAAGCUGUGUCAUGCAGUGGAAAUGAGGCUCCCUACCAGAGCCGCAAAAUGGCUGUUUGUUUGUGUUUUACCAUAAUACAUUUAUUUAUAGGCGUCUCUGGCAGUCGCAAAAACAGCCAAAAUACACACAGACACAGCCACAUUUGAGAACAGUUCAACUAGUAGUUUUAUGGUCCCCAUUGUUUUCUUUUAAUUGGAGCAAUACCAGCUACGUUCAGCAGCCAUUGACAGUAGGUGACUUAACACUUUAAAUACUGCUUUAAAGUGUAAAUCUAUCCUGAAUUGCUUUUUCUCUCAUUAAUUAACAUGCUCAAAGGUGUUUUAGUUAAUAGAAUGUUGAUUUUGACUUUCCCAAUGUUUUGGGACAAAUUGUUUCAAAAUUGGUGAAAGCCAAACGAAGAAACCCAUGUCACAAAUGCAUUCAACAAUUCUGUACUUUGUUACGUGUAAACGUAGAAGGGAUACAACCUGGGUGCCUCACAUACCAGCUGUGAAUCUGAUGCUCACGUCCUAGAACAAUUUGUGUUUUGCUUUGAUGGUGUGUGAACCAUAGCUUCGUGUUGUAGCUGUAAAUUGUUUGUACCAUGACUGCUCUGUUUAUUUUAAGAAGAUGAAUAUAUUGUCAGUCUGUGUUUAUUAAUAAUUUUAAUUUAAUAGUAAAAAUGAAUUUAAUUAAAAUUUAAUGAGAGUAUUUAGGACCUCCCUAUGUUUACCAUCAUUAUAUUUAUAGCAAGAUAUCUGGCAGGUCAAGU